CUAGAAGUACACGAGCAACGGAAGUUAAAAAAUCGGGCAAGAUUGAACGCAAAGGCAAGCGGGACAUUUGAGGAUGGGGUGACUGCGUACCUUUUGUAUAAUGGGUCAGCGACUUAUAUUCUGUAGCGAGGUUAACCGUAUAGGGGAGCCGUAGGGAAACCGAGUCUUAACUGGGCGAAUGAGUUGCAGGGUAUAGACCC
This 200-nucleotide ribosomal RNA is filed under the name Proteus mirabilis. RNAcentral's name for it is "partial 23S ribosomal RNA". It matches the Rfam family "Bacterial large subunit ribosomal RNA", at positions 515 to 716 of the family's 2925-position model. Lineage: Bacteria; Pseudomonadati; Pseudomonadota; Gammaproteobacteria; Enterobacterales; Morganellaceae. The record is from RNAcentral.